This 251-nucleotide unclassified non-coding RNA is filed under the name Tremella sp. RNAcentral's name for it is "partial contains 5.8S ribosomal RNA, internal transcribed spacer 2, and large subunit ribosomal RNA". Lineage: Eukaryota; Fungi; Basidiomycota; Tremellomycetes; Tremellales; Tremellaceae. RNAcentral also lists the same sequence under 1 other name. The record is from RNAcentral.
AACGCACAUUGCGCCCCUUGGUAUUCCAUGGGGCAUGCCUGUUCGAGCGUCAUUUGUACCCUCAAGCUCUGCUUGGUGUUGGGUGUUUGUCCACUCCCCCGUGUUUGGACUCGCCUUAAAGCAAUUGGCAGCCAGUGUUUUGGUAUUGAAGCGCAGCACAUUUUGCGUCUCUAGCCUAUAAAUACUGGCGUCCAGUAGGCCCAUUUUCCACUUUUGACCUCGGAUCAGGUAGGGAUACCCGCUGAACUUAA